Molecule: non-coding RNA, 30 nt
Filed under: Mus musculus (house mouse)
Lineage: Eukaryota; Metazoa; Chordata; Mammalia; Rodentia; Muridae
Source: RNAcentral
UACACGCAUCAGGUGGCUUACAACUGCCUA